This 492-nucleotide ribosomal RNA is filed under the name uncultured bacterium. Its description in RNAcentral is "partial 16S ribosomal RNA". It matches the Rfam family "Bacterial small subunit ribosomal RNA", at positions 29 to 507 of the family's 1533-position model. The record is from RNAcentral.
AGUGAACGCUGGCGGUAGGCCUAACACAUGCAAGUCGAACGGCAGCACAGUAAGAGCUUGCUCUUACGGGUGGCGAGUGGCGGACGGGUGAGGGAUACAUCGGAAUCUACUUUUUCGUGGGGGAGAACGUAGGGAAACUUACGCUAAUACCGCAUACGACCUACGGGUGAAAGCAGGGGAUCUUCGGACCUUGCGCGAUUGAAUGAGCCGAUGUCGGAUUAGCUAGUUGGCGGGGUAAAGGCCCACCAAGGCGACGAUCCGUAGCUGGUCUGAGAGGAUGAUCAGCCACACUGGAACUGAGACACGGUCCAGACUCCUACGGGAGGCAGCAGUGGGGAAUAUUGGACAAUGGGCGCAAGCCUGAUCCAGCCAUACCGCGUGGGUGAAGAAGGCCUUCGGGUUGUAAAGCCCUUUUGUUGGGAAAGAAAAGCAGCAGGUUAAUACCCCGCUGUUCUGACGGUACCCAAAGAAUAAGCACCGGCUAACUUCGUG